GAACGCGUGGCGGCAUGCCUUACACAUGCAAGUCGAACGGCAGCACGGACUUCGGUCGUGGUGGCGAGUGGCGAACGGUGAGUAAUGCAUCGGAACGUGCCAUUGAGUGGGGAUAACGUAGCGAAAGUUGCGCUAAUACCGCAUAUUCUGUGAGCAGGAAAGCAGGGGACCGCAAGGCCUUGCGCUCUUUGAGCGGCCGAUGUCAGAUUAGCUAGUUGGUGAGGUAAAGGCUUACCAAGGCGACGAUCUGUAGCGGGUCCGAGAGGAUGAUCCGCCACACUGGAACUGAGACACGGUCCAGACUCCUACGGGAGGCAGCAGUGGGGAAUUUUGGACAAUGGGGGCAACCCUGAUCCAGCCAUGCCGCGUGAGUGAAGAAGGCCUUCGGGUUGUAAAGCUCUUUCGGCCGGGAAGAAAUCGCAUGGGCCAAUACCCUGUGUGGAUGACGGUACCGGAAUAAGAAGCACCGGCUAACUACGUG
RNAcentral lists this ribosomal RNA (481 nucleotides) under uncultured bacterium. RNAcentral describes it as "bacterial SSU rRNA". It matches the Rfam family "Bacterial small subunit ribosomal RNA", at positions 37 to 507 of the family's 1533-position model. The record is from RNAcentral.